RNAcentral lists this unclassified non-coding RNA (1659 nucleotides) under Hevea brasiliensis (rubber tree). The record is from RNAcentral. Lineage: Eukaryota; Viridiplantae; Streptophyta; Magnoliopsida; Malpighiales; Euphorbiaceae.
GUUCUUAUAAAAAAAGAGAAAAUUGUUUAACAGCUAUCCACUUUAGAUAGGACAAAUCUAUCGUUUUUAUCGGGUUUAAUCAUUAUCUGAUUAUCAACUGUCUAGUGCAUAAUUCUAACAAAAACCAUAAUUGACACAGAUAUGGAGGAAGGGGGCAAGGAAAUGCAGCGAAUUCUCAGUAUGAAAGGAGGAGUAGGAGAGGAGAGCUACGCCAAUAACUCGAAAUCACAGAGUGCAUAUCUAUCCAAGACAGUGCCGCUACUAGAUCAAGCAGUGCUAGAUUUCUGUGAUGCCGACUUCACUGAGUGUGUUACUAUAGCAGACCUCGGAUGUUCUUCAGGGCCAAACAGUUUGUUUGCCAUUUCUCAGAUCACAAGCAUCAUCCACAAAAGGUUCUCUCAACUAGGUAGAUCCCCGCCGGAAUUUUGUGUGUUUUUGAAUGAUCUCCCAGGAAAUGAUUUCAACACUGUUUUCAAGUCCUUGCCAGUUUUCCAUGAGAAAAUGAGGAAAGAGAAUGGGCAAGAUUUUGGACCUUGUUAUGUUUCUGGGACUCCGGGUUCUUUUUAUGGGAGGCUUUUUCCGCCAGGUACCCUGCAUUUUGUGCACUCUGCUUCUAGUCUUCAUUGGCUUUCACAGGUUUGCUUCUAACCAUUAAAUUUCUAUUAGUUUUUUUGUUACUUUGUCAACCAUAUUUGCUAAAUUUCUCAUAAAUUGCAAAACCUCAAAUUAGAGACAUGGUAUCAAUUGAUAUCAGUAGCUGAAAAGUAAGUUGUCUGCAAAUAAUCGGAUUUGAUUUCUUCACAUUCAAACUGAAUUCUAUGAAAAGUGAGAAUUAAUGUGCCCACUCAUUAUACUAACUGUGGAAAAUAUCAUCUGGUAAGGUCUGCUGAUUCUGUUUUUAUCCCUGAUGAUUCUUUAAGGUGCCUCCAGAAUUGAGUGACAAAAUGAAUCCGCUAAUAAAUAAAGGAAAGAUAUUCAUUUCAAAGACAAGUCCUCCUGAUGUGAUAAACGCAUAUAAGGCACAAUUUCAGAGGGAUUUCUCUUCAUUUCUCGAGGCACGAUCAAUAGAAGUAGUUCCAGGAGGACGUAUGGUAUUGAUGUUCAGGGGAAGAAGACUUGCAGACCCCUCACCUGAUGAAAGCUGUUUACUGUGGGAUUAUUUAGGACAGGCAUUCCAAGAUUUAGUUUCAAAGGGAAUUAUUGAAGAAGAAAAAUUGGACACAUAUAAUACACCAUACUAUGAACCGUAUACAGAAGAUAUCAAAGCUGCGAUAGAAAAAGAAGGAUCCUUUGCUCUUGAUCGCCUUGCAACCAUUAUACUUCCUUGGGAUGGGUGUAAUGGAGGAGUGAAGUGUGACAGGGCAACAACAGCAAGAAACAUGGGAAAGGCCAUCAGAGCAGUGAAUGAGUCGAUGAUUCGAAAUCAUUUCGGGGAAGAAAUUGUGGAUUGUUUAUUUGAAAGGUUCACUGAAAUAAUGGCAACUGAUACAAAGGAAGUAGAGCAUGUCAGUGUUGUUGUUUCAGUAAUCCGAAAAGCAAUUUGAUUAUUGCAGCUUCUCCAUGUAAAAUCUUAUGGUUUAUUUGAAAAAGUUUAAAACAAGCAUAAAGGGGAAUUAAUUAAAACAAUAUUUGAACCAGAAGUUGAAGUGUUGCCUUGAU